UACGGAGGGUGCAAGCGUUAUCCGGAAUCACUGGGUUUAAAGGGUGCGUAGGCGGCUUGGUAAGUCAGAGGUGAAAGCUUCCCGCUCAACGGGAGAACUGCCUAUGAUACUGCCAGGCUUGAAUCAGCACGAGGCAGGCGGAAUGUGGCAUGUAGCGGUGAAAUGCUUAGAUAUGCCAUAGAACACCGAUUGCGAAGGCAGCCUGCCAGAGCUGUAUUGACGCUGAGGCACGAAAGCGUGGGGAGCGAACAGG
RNAcentral lists this ribosomal RNA (253 nucleotides) under uncultured bacterium. RNAcentral's name for it is "partial 16S ribosomal RNA". It matches the Rfam family "Bacterial small subunit ribosomal RNA", at positions 524 to 776 of the family's 1533-position model. The record is from RNAcentral.